This 392-nucleotide unclassified non-coding RNA is filed under the name Mycoplasmoides gallisepticum. RNAcentral's name for it is "Mycoplasma gallisepticum 16S-23S ribosomal RNA intergenic spacer". Lineage: Bacteria; Bacillati; Mycoplasmatota; Mycoplasmoidales; Mycoplasmoidaceae. The record is from RNAcentral.
UAAAAGCAGUUAUUAAGUUUUUUUCUUUAAAGCUUUUGACACUUAAUAACACUUUAAGUUAACCUUAGUAAACAUCAUUAAGUUUACCUUUCAAAGAUCAAAGAACAAUUAUUAAAAUCUUUUUGAUCAGAUAACUAAUAAACUAACUAACUAAAUCACUGAUGCAUAAUUAACUGCAUCAAUGAUUUUUUUUUAUUAUUUUUACCGCAAAAAAUGCAGAUUUAUCUGUUAAACUAAUGAUUUAAAAAGGCUUUUUUUUAUUAUCAAUCAUUGGUUAUUUUUUACUUGUGAUUUUAGCUUUAAUGCUUAUAAAAAAAUCCAAUGACAAAAGUUUUUUUAGAAAAGUGUUGUGCAAACUGAUUUGUUAUGCUAUAAUCUAUAAGGCUUAUAUA